Molecule: long non-coding RNA, 583 nt
Organism: Bos taurus (domestic cattle)
Lineage: Eukaryota; Metazoa; Chordata; Mammalia; Artiodactyla; Bovidae
Source: Ensembl
AGGUGAGUUAAUUUAGAACAAUCAAGGCGCCAUUUUUAAAGUAUUCUCAUAGCCCCUGACGCGGGUAGGACGCGUAGUGCUGAGCUUGGCCCCAUUUCACAGAGGAGGGGACUCUCUGGGUGUCUCCGCGGCAGCAGGAGGGCGCGGCCGAAGCCCCAAGCCCGGUCCUCCGCCGCCACCAACACCUUCCAGCCGGCCGGGUAUCCCCCUGCCGGCUGGGACUUUCGACUUUAUCAGCUCGACAGCAGCAAGGCCUCUGCAGAGAAGGCGAUGGCACCCCACUCCAGUACUCUUGCCUGGAAAAUCCCAUGGAUGCAGGAGCCUGGUUCCAGGGACCGAAGGCUGGACAUCUGGGGAACAGGGGCAGGGGUGUGAUUCUGCUGUCCACAGGACAAGCCCAGGCAUGUGAGCUGGCGCUGUGUUCCUCUCUCAGAAGACCUCUAAGCCUGCCCUACUGGUUAACUAGGCAAAAUGAUGGCCUCGAGGAAAUAAGCUCUGGGUAUUCUUGGGAAAAAUCACACCAUCAAUCCACACUUCAGUUUCUUUAUCUGUGAGAUUACAGAGGUGACUGUUCUCUAAAGCG